GGCCCUGUGGUGAAGUUCAUAUUGAGUUGCAAGCUCAUUGAUGUGCGUUAAGGCGCACCAGGGUCU
Molecule: transfer RNA, 66 nt
Filed under: Coracias spatulatus (racket-tailed roller)
Lineage: Eukaryota; Metazoa; Chordata; Aves; Coraciiformes; Coraciidae
Description: tRNA-Cys
Source: RNAcentral